CUCUCUCUCUCUCCAGAAUGCUCAGUGCUUCUUCUUCAAUGUGGAAGAGAGGGAGAGAAGGAAGCAACAGGAGCUGGAAGAGGUAACUUCCCCCAACCCCAGUGCUUCUCUAGACAGCGUUAGACUUCCAGAGCUGUGUCCGCUGUGUGUGUCUGUGUGUCCACUGUCUGUCCAUUCCUGUGUGCGUGUGUCAACUGUCUGUCCAUUCCCAUGUGUGCGUGUGUCCACUAUCUGUCCAUUCCCAUGUGUGUGUGUGUGUCCUCUGUCUGUCCAUUCCCGUGUGACUGGCCCAGUCCAGACUCCUCUGUCUGCUGUGUGAGAGAGCAGAGACUGGCCCAGUCCAGACUCCUCUGUCUGCUGUGUGAGAGAGCAGAGACUGUUAAAGUUAUUAGCAGGUCUGAGUCAGCAGGACUCUCAAAGCCCUGCACUGACCUUGAGGGAUGAGCUGCUGUCCUCUGACAGUGCACCUCUCUAAUCUUCACUCAGCAGAGCCACGCUGUUACUGCGCUUUCACCACAAUCUCACUGUGCUUUACUGCACUG
Molecule: long non-coding RNA, 542 nt
Filed under: Lepisosteus oculatus (spotted gar)
Lineage: Eukaryota; Metazoa; Chordata; Actinopteri; Semionotiformes; Lepisosteidae
Description: lncRNA (ENSLOCG00000022810.1)
Source: RNAcentral